This is an RNA transcript of Lagopus leucura (white-tailed ptarmigan), 7535 nucleotides long. It is a transcript of the gene named tousled like kinase 1, with no coding region annotated. NCBI's taxonomy places the organism in Eukaryota, Metazoa, Chordata, Aves, Galliformes, Phasianidae. The transcript has 33 exons. The record is from RefSeq and is a predicted model, not a curated record.
CGGCGGCUGCCAGGCUCCAGGAAAGUAGCUUGAUGAGUGUCCAAAGUAGCAGUGGAAGUUUGGAGGGGCCGCCAUCUUGGUCCCGGCUCUCCACGUCCCCACCGAGCCUGCAGGGCUGCUCCGCGGCGGCCUCCCAGCUGCACGGCACGCCGCCCGGCAAGCCGCCCAAGGAAGGAGCAAUGGAUGAGCUUCAUAGCCUGGACCCAAGAAGACAAGAAUUGUUAGAGGCAAGAUUUACAGGAGUAGUAAGUGGCAGCACUGGGAGUACUGGAAGUUGCAGUGUUGGAGCUAAAGCCUCAACAAAUAAUGAAAGUUCGAACCACAGUUUUGGAAGCUUGGGAUCUUUAAGUGAUAAAGAAUCAGAGACUCCAGAGAAGAAACAGUCAGAACCUUCCAGAGGAAGAAAAAGAAAAGCAGAUACUCAGAGUGAAAGCAGCCAAGGAAAGAGUAUCGGGGGACGUGGCCACAAGAUUAGUGACUAUUUUGAGUACCAAGGUGGCAACGGCUCUAGUCCAGUUCGAGGUGUACCUCCUGCAAUCCGAUCUCCUCAGAAUUCACAUUCCGCCCCUUCUUCUGUUCGACAGAAUAGUCCUUCUCCUACUUCAUUAGCUUUUGGGGACCACCCUACCACGCAACCAAAGCAGUUAUCUUUUAAAAUUACUCAGACUGAUCUCACAAUGCUGAAAUUAGCUGCACUAGAAAGUAAUAAAAAUCAAGACUUGGAAAAGAAAGAAGGUCGUAUAGAUGACUUACUCAGGGCUAACUGUGAUCUUAGAAGACAAAUAGAUGAACAACAAAAGCUACUUGAAAAAUAUAAGGAAAGAUUAAACAAAUGUAUUUCAAUGAGCAAGAAGCUUCUAAUUGAAAAGAGCACACAAGAAAAGCUGGCAAGCAGAGAGAAGAGCAUGCAAGACAGAUUACGCCUGGGGCAUUUUACAACAGUUCGUCAUGGUGCUUCAUUUACUGAACAGUGGACAGAUGGCUUUGCAUUUCAGAAUCUUGUAAAGCAGCAAGAAUGGGUGAAUCAACAAAGGGAAGACAUUGAAAGGCAAAGAAAGCUCCUGGCCAAGCGAAAGCCACCAACUACAAAUAAUUCUCAGGCACCAUCUGCCAAUUCUGAACCCAAGCAGAGGAAAAAUAAAGCUGUGAAUGGGGCAGAAAACGAUCCCUUUGUUAGACCCAAUUUGCCACAGCUUUUGACUCUAGCAGAGUAUCAUGAACAGGAAGAAAUCUUCAAACUUCGAUUAGGACAUCUCAAGAAGGAGGAAGCUGAAAUACAAGCAGAACUUGAACGUUUGGAAAGAGUUAGGAAUCUUCACAUCAGAGAGCUGAAAAGAAUUAAUAAUGAAGAUAAUUCACAGUUUAAAGAUCACCCCACAUUGAAUGAACGGUAUUUGUUACUCCAUUUGCUUGGCCGAGGUGGCUUCAGUGAAGUAUACAAGGCUUUUGAUCUUUAUGAACAAAGAUAUGCUGCUGUGAAGAUUCACCAGCUUAACAAAAGCUGGAGGGAUGAAAAGAAAGAAAACUACCACAAACAUGCCUGCAGAGAGUAUAGAAUACACAAAGAACUGGAUCACCCCCGGAUAGUUAAAUUAUAUGACUACUUCUCCUUGGAUACAGAUACGUUUUGCACGGUGUUAGAAUACUGUGAAGGCAAUGACUUGGAUUUCUAUCUCAAGCAACAUAAAUUGAUGUCAGAGAAGGAAGCUAGGUCCAUUGUAAUGCAAAUAGUAAAUGCACUACGGUAUCUCAAUGAGAUCAAGCCCCCUAUUAUACACUAUGAUCUUAAACCAGGUAAUAUUCUUCUUGUAGAUGGAACAGCAUGUGGAGAAAUAAAAAUUACUGAUUUUGGAUUGUCCAAAAUAAUGGAUGAUGAUAGCUAUGGUGUGGAUGGAAUGGAUUUAACUUCACAAGGAGCAGGAACUUACUGGUACUUGCCUCCAGAGUGUUUUGUAGUUGGCAAAGAGCCACCAAAGAUUUCUAAUAAGGUUGAUGUAUGGUCAGUUGGAGUAAUCUUUUUCCAGUGUCUUUAUGGUCGAAAGCCAUUUGGCCACAAUCAAUCUCAGCAAGAUAUCUUACAAGAAAAUACAAUAUUAAAAGCCACAGAAGUCCAGUUCCCUGUUAAGCCUGUUGUUAGCAAUGAAGCCAAGGCCUUUAUCAGACGCUGCUUAGCAUACCGAAAAGAGGAUAGAUUUGAUGUCCAUCAACUGGCUAAUGAUCCUUACCUUCUCCCCCAUAUGAGGAGAUCAAAUUCUUCAGGAAACUUACAUAUGACUGGGCUAGCAGCAUCCCCUACACCACCUACUUCAAGCAUUAUUUCAUACUGAAAUUUCUCCAACUGAGGAAUGGCAUGAUAUCUUGGUGUAGUUUCCAAAUGCAUACUUGAGCUUGAGAACAUAUGGGUGUUUUUCUGCAGGACAAGUUUGAUAACUGUGUUUUCAGGCUGAAGUCCUCCUACAUAGUGUUGUUUGUAUGAUUGGAAUGGGUCAUGGACUGUGAAUAAACAUACCCUUCAGAGAACAGCCUUUAAAUGUUGAAGGAUGACAUUGCCUGUUGCACACUAACAGAGUACUGGGAUUGCAUCCUUUUCACCAUCUGCCAGUACGAAACCGAGGUGGUGGGGUUCAAGGAUUUUGCCAUGGCUGCACGCUCACAUUAAAUUUCAUUAUAUCCUGUUCUGUGUCUUGGAAGUUACAGACUGUUUUGCCUAAGGAAAAGAGAUGCACAUGAAGAAUCACUGUGUCAUCUUUCAAAUCGAAGUUGCAAGAUCUCAACGCGAGCACAACCUGUGUACUGGAGGUAAGCAUCUUAUGGUGCUGUCAGUAAAAAUUUUGUAUCCCCAUGUGGAUUUAUUCUGUCUUCACAGCACGUCCAAGUUGGUGUCUGAUGGCUGAUGCUCAGCAAUUUGUGCUUGGCAUAGAAGUACCCUUGAGACUGAAUCCAGAAGCCUGAAUUACUGCGACUUGUCGAGAAAUGCUGAUCACUUCUAGGCUUACAGCUGUGGCUCAGCAGCAGCUGGCAGAGUUCUCUCCAACGAUUUCAGCACUGGAAUACCUUCCCUGUGUGCCUUUCUAUUGAAAAGCCAGCUUGUGUGAAGCAGGGAGGAAUGUCUGGAGCAGAAGGUGGAGAAGAAUGUACUGGUUUAUGUAAUCCCUCUGACUGGAGCAGCAGUUUAUGGGGCUUCUUGAAGCUGUGAAUUUCUGACCAGAUGUGGAAGGGAAAAAGCAGUUUGCUUCUCUCUCUCUGCUAUCCUGCCCAGUUCCCUCCUUUCAAUACUGGCUGUGCAGAAAUGCUUUCUUCAGCUGGAACUGGAGGAGUUUCCUGUUUCUGUUUUGUACAGCUGUACCCAUGUGGAAGACCCAAAUGCAGGGGAUGUAUCAAGCACUGUGCAGAAAUGUACCAGCGACUGAACUGAGGCAAAUAGUUUUAAAGCCAUCUUCUUCCAGCAAGAUCUGGUGGUAAAAGUUAUCCCCAGCGAGGAAGUACCUGGCCCGGAGUGUAAAUCCUUUUCAGGGGUGCAGAGUCAGCAUCAGUAACUGACAGCAAAGUUACAGCCAACAGCCAUGCCAGGUGCUUCUUCUGCAGUGUAACCUUCAAAAAUGCCAUUUCGUGUGGCGUUACAAAGACCGUACUGGAAAGGAAAAGGUAACAUCUUCUGCUGAGGCAAAGAAAGCCUGGGAAGAGUACAUACCUACCACUAUCAGCUGAAGUUUCAAUCUCUCAAUACCCUCCUGCUCAUCCAUAAAUUUGAAGCUUCCGCGGCAGCUUAAAAAGGCCUUACCAUCGUGAAGGAUCAAACCUGACGGGUGCCUGCUGACUGCUACAAUCGAGCCAUGGUCUAUAGCAUUUUCAACAUUUUCUUCCAAAUUCUAAUGUUCCAUAGGUGCACGAGUGUGUAGCAGAGAGGGGUACGUGAUUGAUGGGCAGAGAUGGGGCUGCACUCACCUGCUGGGACUCAGGAGAAGGAGCCUUGCUGAGGAGAAGGUGACAAACUGGUGAACCCCUCUUAACACUUCUCAGCCAGAGCAGGUCUGUGCAUGCCUGUCCUGGCUGGAUCUGUGGCCUUUCACUGACGAGUCUUGCUGCAAUCACUCACACCAAGUAUAACAUGUCACAAAAACUGUGCCUUGAUACUAAUGUGCAAUUGAAAUAAUGUGUGAAGGAUGUUCCUAAGAAUGACUAUUCAGUUUCCAGAGUGAAAUUCUUAUUUUUUUGGUUGCACACUGGCACCAUAGUACAUCUGUACACUAUUCAUAGUGGCACCUAAUGAUUAAUACGGAGUUGAGGCUUCCCGAGAAGGGCAUGUGUGUUCCUUGCUAAACUUACUAAAUCCUACAGAAAUCUGAUGCCUAACAAAAUAUCGCUGCUUUAUCUUUCACAGAGCUUUAAUUCUUCAGCUGGAGUAGGUGAUGGGCUGGGCAGAACUGAUGAAGAAUCUCCUGAGCUGGAUGCAGUUUUGUUUCACUUGGGGAGCUGUUUUAUGAGAUUGUUCUUGCACCUUAAAUAAUGAAUUUUAAAAACCCCAGUGUGAGCAGUGAAUGCCCAGCACAGCUCUGCCCGGACAUGUUAACGAAUCCUUGGCACUGUCCUGAAGAAUGCACAGAAGGCGGCUACAAAGCCCUCAGCAGCCAUCUCCUGGCACUGCAGCAGAGACUCAAGCUGCAGAAUGCACCUCUUCUACGUGUGCGUGUGAUUACUCAAGCAGAGCUGUAGCUGUGCCCCUGCACUUGAAACAAACAUCUCAACCGCUGAACAGCAUUGGCCCCAGAGCAGCUUCUUGUGGAAUAGGAUGCUUCACCUUACACUGGGAAAUUACAGCUGAACUUCUGCACCACUGAAUCGCUUCCAGAUUUGAAGCUGUGUUACCUUUAGCAGAACUGCUUCUGGCUACACUGAAACAAUGCCUUCUUCCAUUACUCUCAUAAUCAUCACAACAUGGAUAUAUAAAGCAGUCAAGAAAAGACCUUAAUAUAGCUAACGGAAAUGCAUGAUUUCAGCCUAAGCAUUCUAUUCUAUUUUUUGGCUACUGGAGACAUCUACGCAACUACAGAAGUCCACAGCUUGCAGUUGGAAAGCGUAAAACAUGCCAGGUAACUUGAGGCAUUACUGCAAAGAACAUCAUUCCACACUAACAGAAAAGGCAUUAGGUUAUGAUCAGCAUCCUGUUAACAAUUGCUCUACAUUGGGUAUGUGACAAAACCUGUAUUUCUGCUGCUCUUGGAUUAGAGAAGGAAAGCAACUUUGUCAAGGGCUCUGACUGGGACAGUGUGUAGAGAAGUUCCAGGAAAGGCUGUAAGGCCAGUGAGGCUUUAUGAAGCUCAGGAAUAGCAGACGUUCUUUAUAUACAGCAAAGAAAAGAGGGAACAUCCUUAUUACAAAGUUUAAUUCUGAUAUAUAUGAUACUGGAAUUACAAAAUAAAUCAAAAGAUACAUUCUGAGAAGCUCUGAGCCGUGUAUUUACCAAGGCAGAGGGACUUCAAAUUCCAUGCAGUUGAGAAAAUAAAUUGCUAGCAAUGUGAAAAAGGAUUUGGGGUCUCUAACAGCAGAUCUCCAAAUAGAUAAUAGGUGAUGAGGGAACAUGCAGUGGUGGGCCAGAGGAAAGACAAAUUCUUAAGGGAAUAAAGGUAAGACGGGACAACAAGUGUUAGAUAAGGCUUCCACCUGAACUAAUUUGAAACGUUAUGAUCAGCAAUCAAAUGCAGCUACUGUUCUUAAGAGUGAUCAGGCACACUGCAUUGCCAAAAGGAGACAAGCUCCAGAUAACUGAUGACAGCUAGAAGUCAGACCAUGGUUGAAGCAUGGAUAAGUGAAAUUCCAGUAGUACAGAAGGACUGGAGUAGUGUGGAAGGAGCUGAGGCUGUCGUUGGAGUACAGCACACGUACCAGGUUACACAAAGUGUUUCAUCUGCUCUAAUCCUGAACAUCAGUUUCAAAAAAACAUGAAUCACUUGCAGGCAGCUUUUGUGACUCGCUGCUACAGCGGAUCUAACCACUGCUGACCCUGCCUGCAUGCUGAAGUCUGGCAUUCCUUCUUGGAUCCAUUCCUCAGGAAAAGAGCCUUUUUACUGGUUUGUACUAGAGAGCUGAGCUUAAACCAGGAAAACUUACAGCAUUAAGCAAAUAAAUGUGCUAUUUUCUCACACAGGAUGAAAUUCCAGGUAUUUAUUGCUGUAUGUCUGCUUAAUCCAUUAAUUUGUCUUACAGUAGUCAUGAAGUGCCAAAUCGUGUGCUACAUGUAACAUAUCCUGUAUUCCCUUCCAAAUGCCAUUUUACAGUGGGGGUGUGAAGCAGCACAGCAGCAGUCACAAAACAUGGCUUGAGCUUCUCUCAAGAGCUUAAAAAUAAGAUUUGUAUACAAACUGAAUACCGACAUGUUAAUUAACAGGUCACUCAGCAAUUCUAAUAGAAACAUCUUCAGGUGGAAGUUUGCACUGGUAAAAUUUAUGACUCAGACCAAACAUCCUCAUCCCCACUGCAGUAACAAGAUACUUGCAAAGUCAAGAACUAUGGUAUGUCAAUGUCAUACGCAAGAACUGCUUCAUUUCUAUGAGAAGCAAAAAUUGCUACUUAGAAGCAAGGAGAGGCCUAGCUAAGGCUAUCAGCCUUUAUUAAAAACAUACAGGUCCAAGUUUGGCAGUGGAAUUCUAUUUACCACCUUGAAUGUUUCUUUAUUGUGGGUUUGGUUUUUUGUUUUUCUUUUUGGUUAAGUACAAGUACUCUUCUUCCCCUCCCACCAAGCUCACUUUAUAAAUCCCCUUUAUUUUUAUUAUACCUCCAUAUUAUUUACAGGACUGCUAAAGAUUAAGUACAAACUAGUAUGAAAUUAAUGAUAGCUUGCUCUUCAAAUAUGUAUCCCAUGGCUAAAUAAAUACCGAGUGAUCUGGAGUUACGAUUCAGAAGCAUGUGUAUCUGUGAUGCCGGAUGCCUUCUCAUUCACAGCAGGGGAUUCACUCGAUCUGUCAACAAUAGCUGCCUUAGAAGUUGGGGUAGCACUAUCCAAGGUGAGCGGAGAGGUCUGUUCUACAUUUACAGCAGUGCCAGGGUCAACAGAAAAGCUUCCAGCUUGAGUCAUGGUGGGAAGCAAAUCUGUAGGCACUGUAGAUACCUCUGUGACCAAAGGAAGCAGAGGAACGCAUUUUGGUGGCAUUAAUGGAGGUGUUAUUCCCAUUAGAUUCAAAGGCGGCAAAGAAGGAAGGGUUGGCAUACCUAAGAAUAAAAAAAAAGGGCAGUCAGCUGCUACAUACCACACACAAAUCUAAACAGAUUCUGUGUUAGCUUAACAUUUUCCUUUUUUCUAAUCCCCUGUAUAUCCUUGGAGAGAACUCAGCAAGUUUGUUUCAAAGGCUGAUGCAUUUAUUUCAGAAUCAAAAAAUCAGAACAAACUCCAGUUUGCUUCUAGUCCUCGAGAGAGAUGGGACUAAAAUACUAAUACUGAUUAUUAGAUUUUUCUGGCCAGCAACAAGAAGCUAGUGAGAACUUACUCUGUGCAAGCUUCUAACUUCUUUUUGCUUGCUCCACAUGCAUCUUCAGCACUU